Molecule: ribosomal RNA, 513 nt
Filed under: uncultured Paraglomus
Lineage: Eukaryota; Fungi; Glomeromycota; Glomeromycetes; Paraglomerales; Paraglomeraceae
Description: SSU rRNA
Rfam family: Eukaryotic small subunit ribosomal RNA
Source: RNAcentral
AGCAGCCGCGGUAAUUCCAGCUCCAAUAGCGUAUAUUAAAGUUGUUGCAGUUAAAAAGCUCGUAGUUGAAUUUCAGGCCUGGCUGGACGGUCCGCCUUUUGGGGUGAGUACUGUCUGUGGUCGGGUCCUACCUUCUGGCGAAGCGUCAUGGCCUUAACCGGCCGUGGCGGGGAACCAGGACUUUUACUGUGAAAAAAUUAGAGUGUUCAAAGCAGGCAGUCGCUUGGAUACAUUAGCAUGGAAUAAUGGAAUAGGACAAUGGUUCUAUUUGUUGGUUUCUAGGACCGUUGUAAUGAUUAAUAGGGAUAGUUGAGGGCAUUAGUAUUCAAUUGUCAGAGGUGAAAUUCUUGGAUUUAUUGAAGACUAACUACUGCGAAAGCAUUUGCCAAGGAUGUUUUCAUUAAUCAAGAACGAAAGUUAGGGGAUCGAAGACGAUCAGAUACCGUCGUAGUCUUAACCAUAAACUAUGCCGACUAGGAAUCGGGCGAUGUUGACAAAAUGACGCGCUCGGCA